GCAUGCAAAUGGAGUUUAAUUCUCGGAGUCGAGACGCAAGUCAAACUGUCACCGGCUUCUGAGGCACGCGAGGGAGGAGAACAGGAGAUGCCACCGUACAGCAGGGAUGAGCGCACAGGCAAACAAAGGGCUUCACGCUCAAACGGAGAGGGAGGAGAGGAGGAUGGAGGGAGAAGAGGGCUGGAAAGGAAGUUGGAAGAGAAGGGGGAAAAAAAAGAAGCAGGAAUGAAAAAGAGGUGGAGGUUCAGAAAAUAUUAACUUAACUGACAUUUAAAUGGCAAUUCAUCGUAUCCAGUGUCUCCUCCUGAGUGCCUUAUGGUCAACAGGGCAUUCUGUGGUUUUUCAUUUCCUGUGGAGCAUAGACUGACAGCUGGAGCCAUGGCUUUCUGUGUAAACAACAGAAGAUGCAGCAUCUUCUUGGCUCAGGUCAACCAUCAAGGCCCAUUUCAACUUAGAUGGAGAUCCCUGGCCGACACCCUGUCUCCCCCUGGGGACCUGACUGCUGUCCGCGUGGGGAAGAAGUGCUGCCAGACCACCUAAUGAGCCAGGUGACACAAAGACACACCUGAUAGCCCACCUCUGUGCAGGUUUCUCUAUGCUUGUCUGUGUGUGCACAUGCACGUGCA
Clupea harengus (Atlantic herring) is the source of this 626-nucleotide long non-coding RNA. NCBI's taxonomy places the organism in Eukaryota, Metazoa, Chordata, Actinopteri, Clupeiformes, Clupeidae. The record is from Ensembl.